RNAcentral lists this transfer RNA (73 nucleotides) under Culex quinquefasciatus (southern house mosquito). It matches the Rfam family "tRNA". Rfam says of the family: Transfer RNA (tRNA) molecules are approximately 80 nucleotides in length. Their secondary structure includes four short double-helical elements and three loops (D, anti-codon, and T loops). Lineage: Eukaryota; Metazoa; Arthropoda; Insecta; Diptera; Culicidae. The record is from Rfam by way of RNAcentral.
GCGGCCGUGCCUGACUGGUCACGGUGUUCGCUUUGUAAGCGAAUGAUCCUGGGUUCGAUUCCCAUCUGCUCCC